Molecule: ribosomal RNA, 476 nt
Filed under: uncultured Acholeplasma sp.
Lineage: Bacteria; Bacillati; Mycoplasmatota; Mollicutes; Acholeplasmatales; Acholeplasmataceae
Description: bacterial SSU rRNA
Rfam family: Bacterial small subunit ribosomal RNA
Source: RNAcentral
CUUAAAGGAAUUGACGGGACCCCGCACAAGCGGUGGAUCAUGUUGUUUAAUUCGACGAUACGCGAAGAACCUUACCAGGUCUUGACAUCCCCUGCAAAGCUAUGGAGACAUAGUGGAGGUUAUCAGGGAGACAGGUGGUGCAUGGUUGUCGUCAGCUCGUGUCGUGAGAUGUUGGGUUAAGUCCCGCAACGAGCGCAACCCUUAUUGCUAGUUACCAUCAUUAAGUUGGGGACUCUAGCGAGACUGCCAGUGAUAAACUGGAGGAAGGUGGGGAUGACGUCAAAUCAUCAUGCCCCUUAUGACCUGGGCUACAAACGUGAUACAAUGGCUGAAACAAAGGGCAGCGAAGGAGCGAUCUGGAGCGAAACCCAAAAAGCAGUCUCAGUUCGGAUUGAAGUCUGCAACUCGACUUCAUGAAGUCGGAAUCGCUAGUAAUCGCGGAUCAGAACGCCGCGGUGAAUACGUUCUCGGGGUUU